AAUCCAUAGGUUAAUGAGGCGAACCGGGGGAACUGAAACAUCUAAGUACCCCGAGGAAAAGAAAUCAACCGAGAUUCCCCCAGUAGCGGCGAGCGAACGGGGAGGAGCCCAGAGCCUGAAUCAGCAUGUGUGUUAGUGGAAGCGUCUGGAAAGGCGCGCGAUACAGGGUGACAGCCCCGUACACAAAAGCGCAUGUGCUGUGAGCUCGAUGAGUAGGGCGGGACACGUGGUAUCCUGUCUGAAUAUGGGGGGACCAUCCUCCAAGGCUAAAUACUCCUGACUGACCGAUAGUGAACCAGUACCGUGAGGGAAAGGCGAAAAGAACCCCGGCGAGGGGAGUGAAAAAGAACCUGAAACCGUGUACGUACAAGCAGUGGGAGCACAGGUUUACCUGUGUGACUGCGUACCUUUUGUAUAAUGGGUCAGCGACUUAUAUUCUGUAGCAAGGUUAACCGAAUAGGGGAGCCGGAGGGAAACCGAGUCUUAAUUGGGCGUUAAGUUGCAGGGUAUAGACCCGAAACCCGGUGAUCUAGCCAUGGGCAGGUUGAAGGUUGGGUAACACUAACUGGAGGACCGAACCGACUAAUGUUGAAAAAUUAGCGGAUGACCUGUGGCUGGGGGUGAAAGGCCAAUCAAACCGGGAGAUAGCUGGUUCUCCCCGAAAGCUAUUUAGGUAGCGCCUCGUGAACUCAUCUC
RNAcentral lists this ribosomal RNA (696 nucleotides) under Salmonella enterica subsp. enterica serovar Derby. RNAcentral describes it as "partial 23S ribosomal RNA". It matches the Rfam family "Bacterial large subunit ribosomal RNA", at positions 161 to 896 of the family's 2925-position model. The record is from RNAcentral. Lineage: Bacteria; Pseudomonadati; Pseudomonadota; Gammaproteobacteria; Enterobacterales; Enterobacteriaceae.